GCCCCUUACAGUUCUGCCUUAACCACAGCUGUUAUCUAUCCUCAGCUGGGCAGUGGUUCGUGAAGAAAGAAGCACAAGGAGAGCAGCUGGUGAGCAGUGUGAGAGUUAAAGGCCCAGGCAGGGGUCAAGGGGCACAAAAGGGAAAAUAAAGCACCACGCCCUGAACUGCAUCCAUUUCUACAAGAAGAGAACAGGAGACAAGAGAAGGGACACAUGACUGCUGGGAUCCCUGUCAGUGUUUGCCAGCAGGAGAACGUUUGUCCUACAUCUGGCCACCCCUGAUGACACCUCAGAUCAUAGGAAGGACCCACGGACUCUUCCCAGGCUGGGAAGGAGCCUGGCCAAG
RNAcentral lists this long non-coding RNA (346 nucleotides) under Junco hyemalis (dark-eyed junco). Its description in RNAcentral is "lncRNA (ENSJHYG00000016583.1)". Lineage: Eukaryota; Metazoa; Chordata; Aves; Passeriformes; Passerellidae. The record is from RNAcentral.